CUGCACUUGAUAACAUCAAUUUAUACAGUAGUUUUUAUAUCAGCAUGAUUCCUUUUGUAAAAACAGAAUAUUUUCUUCACUUUAUACUAUGUUGCUUUAGAAUGAGUUUUAACUACAGUGAAAGGCUUCUUUUAAUCUAGAACAAUUAUAGCCAUUCAAAGAUUGGUGCCAUUUUAAUGGCUGUGUAUUGAUGUAACAAUAUCAGUGUAAAAUGUACAGUGAUACAUCUGUUCCUGUAGAAACAGUCAAAUAUUCCAACAAGGACAGAAGCUUUCUUUGUUAUACAAAUAUUUGGAUCAUCUGGCUUUAGAAAGCUAGUCAUAUAGCUUUGGCUAUAGGUAAAUCCAGAUAGCAUGCAUUUUAUGUGCUUUCAAAGUCUACUGCUUAUUUUGAUGCACUUCUAGAUCUGUUUCACAGUGAGAUGUUUGUUUUUCUGUCUUAAGUGCUGAGAAAUUGAAGGUGAGAUGUUUUCCAUCAAUUAUACAUGUGCUACCAGACCCUCUGCCUAAAUCCUGUGAGGUAAGGAACCUUCCAAACUGGACGCACACUUCUGAGCCAAAAGUCCAUUGGUGUGAGUUGUGUGUCUAUGUCCCAUGGCUCUUCAACUUCUGUAAAGUGAGGGAACAUCCUUUUUUUUUUUUUUUUGUUUUUAAUAAAAUCCAUGGACAAACUUAUGAAAAUAUAAUACUGGUCUUUACAUAAAAUCAAAUUAAAUUAGCUUAAACUUUGUAUGUCAUUUUAGUACUCUUUGUCACAUUUUAUUGCCUGCUUGCCUGGGAAUCCAUGCAUAGUCUCUUCAGGUUUUUUUCUUACUUUACUUUUUUUUGGCUAUCUUCAAAUGCUUUGUGAUCUUCUGAUGUCUUGUGAUCUUCUUGCUAAAAUUUGAAAGCCACUAAUCUGCAAGGACUCAUGUCAUCGGUGGAGAAGAGCGGCUGAGGAGGGCUCUGUGGAUUGUCUACUCUCGAGGCACUGAGGAGACAAGGGCUCAGGCGCCGUCACAGUGGCUUCACGGACACCUUUGUCUUUCUCUAGUGAGCUGCUAUAUUUGAGAGAAAGCUGAAAAAAAGAUGUCUAAAGAGGUCCAAAAAUAAUCUGUCCUGAAGAACUAAUAUAUAUAUAAAGAUUUCCUCCCUUUGCUCCCUCUUCUUUGGGUCACAAGAGCACCAUAAGAAGAACUGAUCUUACUGAUUACUAUUAAUAUUGGAACAGGUUUUUCAUUGCUGAGUUAGCAGCUGUCAGAAUCUACUCCUUGGUGAGUUUUUAAUUAAUGAUAUCUGAAUCAUAGUAAAGCUAGAUGACAUUUGAUAAGGUAUAGAUCAAAUGGACACGUAAAAGUUCCAGGCAGAGGCAAUUUCUACAGUUUAAAAAAGAACCCAGAGAUGGAUCUUUUAUUGACACCAUAGAGACCUUGCCCACUAACAUAAAUCACUACUUUCUCACAUGGCCAGAAGAGAGGCACAGUUAGCUUAAGAAUACAGAAUAAAGUCUUCCUUGCAUUCAUCUCUUGCGGGUGCAACACGACGAAGCACUUGAUGGCAACAGAGAAGAGCUCAGCCAGUCUCAGUGUGAAAUGGAAACGCUCUGGCAAACAAGUCCACACUCCUGUCUUAGCAAAGAAGUGCUUUCUCACAACAGCUGCCUUACCAACUGACAUUACAUGCAGCAUGUCUUCUGGAAAAAAGAUUUCUCUUACUGCUGAGCAGAAGAGUGAAGAUAUGUUUUCACAGAUCACUUGAAUAUAAAGAAGAACCAUUUUUUGGCCAGAAAAUAGAUUAACAUCUUUGAAUCUCUGUUAAACAUGAAAUGCACAUUUACUACUCUUAGUUUCAUGAGAGUUAUAUUAGUUAAUGUUUUUAUUGAGAGUAACAUGUGACAUCACUCACUUUCCAGUUUCUCACACUUUUUUCUCUUAUCCUCAAGUAUUUUGUUCUUCUUUGGUUUAGGCAGCACAAUCAGAAAGAGAAAAAAAAAUCCAGAUUUGCAAACAUAAGAAAGAUUUCCUUCAAAAUUGGUUUUCUUUAGAAUAAUUUCAGGAGAAGGAGUAUAAUUAAUUAGGACUGGAGAUAGAGAAGGUGCUAGUACACCCAAUACCUAGGUCUAAUACAUUUUGAGGCUUCCACUGCAAUUCCACUAGGAAUGAGAGCAUCGCUUGUGCAAUAUGCAGCCUAUUAAAAAUAUUUACCCCCAAGAAAGAGUUUUAUGGGUUACAGUUAUACACAGACAUUAAGAAAAAUAUCCUGGACUGCAAGCUUUUGUGGGGUUAUUUUGGGUUGGUUUUUUUUUGGGGGGGGAGGGUGUGAGAAGGGGACAAAGACCAUGUUAUAGACCAGUCUAUAGCUUUCAAAGCACUAUUUUUCUGUCAGGCAAAUUUUGUAACUUCUCAUUUCACAGCUUGCCAACUUUCCCAUCCUUUAAAUCGGAGUAUCUUGAUGCCUAUUACUAAUAAGGUUCUUCUUGCUCGAAAUAAUGUAUUGGAAUCACUGUGAAAUUAAAAAAAAAUACCUGUUUUUUUUUUCUUUUUUAAAGAGCAGUCCCUUAAGGUGCAGUUUACUGAAUAACGCAAGUUAUUCUAGGAAUUAGGUAUGCAGGAUUACAUCAAACAUUAAAGAAUUACACCACUAGCUUAUUCUUAACAUGUCUGCUUUGUAAUCUGUAGAACAUGUCCGUGUACAAGAGAAAAGCAAUUUAUCUGAAUCUCUAAACGGUACAAUCAUUUAGCCUAUGUGAUUUAUUUUGAUUGGAAAUAUCUCCUGAUUUACCUCUUCCAAUGUAACCAUUAAUUUACAAUUUGAGUGAUAGUAUGUGGUUAAACAUUAACUUUUCAAUUAAUUUUUACAUAUCUACAAGGUCUAUAAUAGACAGCAGGUUCUGUAAUUACAAAUAAGGCACUAUAUAAAAUAAUGUAAUAUAUUUUAAAAGGCAAUGCCUUUUAGAUUGUGCUUGUCCUUCUUUUAAAAGAACUCUGGGAAUUUUGAAGGGUACAUGGAAAGAAACACUUUUUAUUUGAUGAAUUGAGUUUAUAAUAAAAUGGCUCCAAAGACCAAAUAAAAAAUAUCUGAGAUGGCAAAAGGCAGGAUAUUAAUGUAUUGAUAUCAUCUAGAUAAUAAUACAGUAUGUUCCUGAGCUUAGAGGUUUUCAGAAGCUUUGAGAAGUAAAAUGACUGUGUUUUCAAGAUAUCAAAAAGUUCUGAAGUACAUUUUACAGUUUAAAAGGUGGACUUAAAAAUAGGUGGUAUAUGCGCACACACACUUGUGAGUGCGUUGCCCUGCUAAAGCUGUAGAUUGGUUCCAUAAAGAUGGACUCUCUCUGAGAAAAUUUUCUCUAUAAGGAAUAUGUGGGCCUUAGGAGUCCUGUGGUAGCUCCAUACCUCAGGAUGCAGGAGGCAAUGUCGCAAAAAACCAAAGACUGACUGCAAUGUAUAAACAUCUCAGCUGUCCUCAGAUGCCAGAAGAGCCCUGGAGGCAGCGGGUAGCUUGUGCUGGUGGCUACAUCAGUACAACAAAUAAGGUGGCGUAAAGUUCCUCUAUGUCACCUUUGCCCUCUUCUUGCACCCUCAGGGCAAGCACAAGUCCAAAUUCGUUGUUGCCACAGGUUUGCAUUGUGGCCGGGUUCUGUAAUACUUUGCACGUUCCAAAAACAACCCUCUUUUCACUGCUCUCAAAGGUUAAUUCAAUAAACAAAACACAAUAAAAGCUACUGAAAAGCAGCUGCUCCCGCAGGAAGGAAGCUGGUUUACUGCUCCUUGGUUUCCCAUGCUGCCAGAAUAUUAAAUUGCCAUUUUCAACAAGGUGGCUACAGCUGCCUUAGAAUUUAACUUUCUUUUUUCAUUGCUGUUGCACUCAUGGUGGGAAGCUGCUCCUUUGAAAGUAUGAUCCAUCCUGGGUGAUCGCUGUGGGGUGGAGCAAAACACCCAUCCUAAGCAACCUGUUACAAAAUUUCCUUUAAUGUCUGUAGGGAUAGGAAUCUGGCUUUUUAAUUUAGAAGGAAACCUGAUGAUUUUUUAUAAAACUGCUAACAAUACCUUAUGCCAACUAUUUUUCAUGCUUCCCAGCUCCCUUGGUCUACCUACCUCUUAAGCUUGCGUGUAGGAAGAACUUCUGUCAUUCUCCUCAUGUAUCUUACUCACCUUCAUGUGGCUAUGCUUUCCCUCUUUGUUUUCCUGUACACACUUUGUACGGUUCAGUUGGUUUUCUGAACACUUGGUGUUCUAAAAAAUGUAUAUGUUGUACUGAAAUAUGUUUUUCCAUAGCCUAAUUGCACUGGUCACUCCAUGGCCCAUGCUAAAUCUCUGAUCAAUGUAUAAAUUUUAGUGAAAAAUUAGUUCAAGACAAUAGUUGAGGUACCGCUUAUUUUUUUUUUAGAUGGUAGACUUUAUUUUUAUGUAGAUUUUCCUGGGUGUGAGUAUAUGAAUGGAAUUCAUGACAGUGAAGAAAAUGACACUGAUUGUGCUUGAACCUUUCAGAGCACUGAAUAAAUCCAGCUUGUAUGA
Calidris pugnax (ruff) is the source of this 4489-nucleotide long non-coding RNA. RefSeq lists it as uncharacterized. Lineage: Eukaryota; Metazoa; Chordata; Aves; Charadriiformes; Scolopacidae. The transcript is spliced from 2 exons. The record is from RefSeq and is a predicted model, not a curated record.